This is a long non-coding RNA of Monomorium pharaonis (pharaoh ant), 4176 nucleotides long. RefSeq lists it as uncharacterized. The record is from RefSeq and is a predicted model, not a curated record. Lineage: Eukaryota; Metazoa; Arthropoda; Insecta; Hymenoptera; Formicidae. The transcript is spliced from 2 exons.
AAUAGGUAAAUUUAUAUACAUAACUUGUUAUAAAUUUAUACAAUUUAUUCGUAUGACAUUUAUUAUAUAAUAGUCGAAAUAUUUUCCGAUCGAUGUUAAAUGAAGAUUGUAGUAGCUGCACACAACGCGCGUGCCAACAUUUCAAGUCGACGAGACGAAUUGAAUGACACUAGGUCCGAGGAAAUUGUGAGAAACAAAAUUCCGGAAAUCGCACGAAAGUUCCGAGUGUACCGUCGAGAUUGCACUCGGUCGUCUUUUGGAUUCUUUCGACACAGGUUUCUUGUGCGCGCAGUUUUCUCCCGAAGUGUUUUCUUCACGAUGCGAAAUACGGACAGUGAGUGUGCAUCAUCCAUUCCGUUUACAAUGGACAAUUACAAAACACAUUGAAUUGCCAGUAUUUGCGCCAUUAAUUUAGCUCCAUUAUCGUGUAAUUAUAGUUCAAUUGCCGUACGAUGACUCUAUUGCAGACGCUAAUUGAUCACUGGUGUAGACAAAUUUUUGGGGAUUUUCGCAGUAUCUCUAUACUGCGCAGGAAAAUUUCGUAAUGCGUAUAGAAUCUCGACAAUUACAAUUGAUUUAGAAACAUGUAAGAAUAAAGAUUUAAAAGUUUUCAUUUUUAAUCUUGAUUUUUAAAUAAAAAAUAUGAUUGUUAUACAAUUAUAGUAAAGAUGUUGCAAAUAGGUUCAAAAAUUUCUAUUUGAGAAUAUAAAGUAUAUAUCAAAAUAAGCAUAAAAGAUUUUAAUUGAGACCAAAAGGAUAAAAAUUUCGACUCAAAAUCACACGAGAAAUAGGCAUUGAUUAAAAAGAGAAAGCGCAGCAGCACAUCUUAGUAGCUCAAUAAUAUUUUAUGUGUGAUUUUUAUAUAUUUUUAUAUACAUUUCUUUUUCACUGCGCGUCAUUAUUUUCGAUCUGUGCAAACGCAGUUCCUUAAAUUCGAUAUCUUAUAUUGUGCGACCGAUUGGCGAUUAUAGGUAUCUUAAAAAGCGGUGCGUCGAACGUGACUUCGGAGAACUCCGAUCAUAAAUCCAUCACUGUCUUCGUGCCAGGAUUGAUAAACUCACGGAAGAUUCGAAAAGAUUAGAAAGCUUGUUGUCUAUCUCGGCUACCGGAAAAAAAGGAUUAGCCGGAACGUCACCGAAAUAUUAUAUGUACGAGACUUUCGAGAUCAGAGAGCGAGACGUGCGACAUCCAAUUAGCAUUAAUAGCGCUAAUACUGAUCAGCGCUUUUGAUUGGCUAUCGAGCCCGCGUUAGCAACCUGGGAUCUGCGUAUAUAUCGAUAUAUAUCACUUUAAUUUUGAGCGUUCGUCGCUCGCGUGUAAAGUUUCUUUCGACGUCAGAAAUAUCUCGAGCCUUCCUUCUGUAUUUCGGUGGCGUCGAAUCUCUUCUCGGAAACCGCAUCGAGGCUGGCCCAUUGUUUUCAAUCUUCGAUAAGUUUUCAAUCGUGUCGAGUAAGUCAGAGACAGUGAUGGAUUUACGAUCAGGACUUGUUGGAAGUCGCCUUCGUGUUUGAUUUCGAGCGUGUCGACGUUUGUCCGAAGCUUUUCCCAUCGCUACAUAAGCAAGAGCGAGGCUCGUGCCGGCGCGGCGACGCGAUUAAACUUUUUUACUUUCCCGCGAAAUGCCUAUUCCCAAAGUGACCAAUCAGCUACUCGCUGCUCCCAUAACGUUUGCCCCUCCCCCCACGCUCCGGCUCAUUUCCGUCGCGAGGACACGGGUGUGAGGACGUGUGUCUUUUCGUCCGUCGGUAGGGAACUACAGCGAUGACCUUGGUGUGUACGUUAGUCCGUCGAAGGUACGAGAAACAACCGCGAGCUACGUGACGCGUCGUCGUGUAAAAUACGCGGGAUUCAAUACCACCAAGUGCGUCGUGUUCAGUUCGCUCGUCGCGUCCAGUUCGCUCGUCGCGUCCGUCGCCGUGUACGACGGUGAUUCCGCGUUCCUCGUUUCGCCGACGCAUUAACCGAGAUCUCGAAAGCGACGCCCGCGAGCCUCGCCUGCAUUUUUUCGCCGCCAGUUUCUCUUUUCCCGAAAAGUAGACUCGUAUCGUGGUGACCGGCGAGCUGCUUCCCCUCCCCCCCCCCUCCUACAUUCUCGAGAAGUAACCUCAGUCCCGUCGGGGAGACGCGUCGUGCGCGUCGUAAUUUAUUUAUCGCGUCGUCUUUUCAUCCGUCGCGAAUAUCGCGAAGAACGACAAUGACCGUGGUGUGUCCGUCGGUCCGCCUAAACCCCAUGGAAAAUAACUACGGGAACAACGACGUGUGUGAGAUACGCGGGAUUUCAGUGUCGUGAAGUGCGUCGUGUUUGACACAACGUCGCGUUUCGGUUCGCAGUUAUUCGUUGCUCAUGUCCAACGGUUUCACGGUCCCUCGUUUCGCCCGACAUAAAUGUUAGUCGAGCUUUCAAAAGCGGUGCACUCAAACGUACGUCGCGGUCAGUCUGUUUUCCCCGAAAAGUGUACCGUGCGAGGUCGCGAUUCGUUUCCCCAUUCCGUUAUUUUCGCAUUCUCGGAAGGUUAAGUUUCUCUCGUCGGGACACGCGAUGUCGGGACGAAAUUUAUAUCAUUCAUCUCGUGCAUCUCUUUAUCCGUAUUAUCGCGAGAAACGAAGAACAUUGACCUUGGUGUGUUCGUCAGUCCGCUAGGUAUGAAAAAUAGAGCAACGUCGUGCGUGUGCGAAAUGCACGGAGAAUAUUCAGUAUCGUGAAGUACGUCGCGCUUGAUACAUACAUCGCGUCUCACUUCGCAGCGUCCGUCCGUCGCUUGUCCGUUGACUCCGCGUUCUUCGUUUCGCCGGUACGUUAAUUGAGAUUUUAAAAGUGACGUCCAAGUCCCGCUUGUAUUUUAUCGCACGAAAUUGCAAAAGCCAUUUUCCCCCUUUCUAUUACUCCGUAGUAAAUCUCGCGAGUUCUGUCGCGGAGCAUCCGUCGGAGUUCCGCGAUCUCUUUAUCCUUUAUUUUACGUUGCCAAGUGAAUAACAAACGCGAACGAGUACCGAGAGUGAAUCAAAUCAAAUCGAAAUCAAUGGAAUAAACAAACGAUCGCCCCGCGUGCAUUUCGUUCCGUGCGAUUGUCUUAUAAAAUACGUAAGUGUCGUCGCAAUCUAACCUAACCUAACCUGAUCGUUCGGUCGUUUGCAUACGUGACGAUAUAUACGCGAGUGUCGGUAUAGUGAUGGCACAGGUGCAACCAAGGAUACAUUCUACAACAAAAGGAAGGAAAGGGACACCCGGAAACGGAGAGGAGCAAGGUGAUCACGACGCAUCGGCCGCGUACACUGACAAAAAGACUUGGUUAUAAUAAUCCAGCCUUGGUCAAAACUACCCAAAACCUUAAUGAAAUAGUUUCAAGUGUAAGGUAAUUAUAACAAAAUAAUGUACUUAUAAUGAAAUGUUUAUAAUUAUUACCAAACGUUUUGUCAUUAUUACUGCAUUUGUUUAUAACAACCAAAUAUUUCAACAAAAUCAUUACUAAAUGCAUUUCAACAAAAUCAUUACUAAAUGCAGGUUUACUAAGAAUUUUUUUUUUUCAGUGUAUAUGACGAUAUAUAUGCGAGUGUCAGUGAUAGUGAUGCACGGGUGCAACCAAGGACACAUUCUGCAACUAAAAGAAGGAAAGGGACACCCGGAAACGGAGAGGAGCAAGGUGAUCACGACGCAUCGGCCGGUGAGUGAAUUACAGCUGUUCUGUAGAUACAAUUGUUUUUUUGAAACUCAAUUUUUUCCUCUUUUUUACUAAGAUUACGAGAUAUUCUUUUCUAAUUAGCAUUCCAGUGUUAAUUAUUGCACUAUGAACAAAUUUUUAUGAGCAAAUGACUCACAUUUGUUCAAAAUUUAUUUUCAUACAAUGUAAAUUGUUUUUUUAUUAACUAUCUUAUAAAAUUCCAUAAAAUUGGAAUUAUUUAAAUUUGUUUUCAUAUAUUAUUUCAAAUCUAUAUAUCAGGUUUAAACCAAGGGUCUCUUUUCUCAACAUAAUCGCGGUUUCAAACUUGCGCAAGAUUUCGUAAUGCACUGAUAGUCACAAACUAACUUUGGGGAACAUACAUACAGAUAAAUACUUACUCUAUUGUUAAGAAAAGCGAUUACUCAGUUUACUUUUUUUCUUAUAAUAAGUAACGGUUAUCUUCAAUAAAGAAUAUUUUCUUGAUAAUAGUUUUAAAAUAUAUAUCUUAUAAUUAUCA